This 1980-nucleotide ribosomal RNA is filed under the name Triticum aestivum (bread wheat). RNAcentral describes it as "partial small subunit ribosomal RNA". The record is from RNAcentral. Lineage: Eukaryota; Viridiplantae; Streptophyta; Magnoliopsida; Poales; Poaceae.
AUGCCACUCCACUCCCACGUCCGCCGCCUCGUGCUCUUGCUGCUGGUCCUUUCCACCAGGGUUCCCGACUCUGUCUCCUCUUCUUGCGCCGGCGGCGUCCGGGACGAGGCGGCGAUCGUCGCGGCCGCGUUCCGCUACGUGCGCAACUUCCGGCCGCAGGCCGUGCCGGCAUGCAGGCCUGUCCGGGAGCUGCGCCUCCCGUCGCGGAACCUGACGGGCGCCGUGGCGUGGGCGGCGCUCGCGAACCUGUCCGCCCUUGCCGCGCUCGACCUCUCCGGGAACGCGCUCCAGGGCGCUAUCCCCGGCGGCUUCUGGCGCGCGCCGGCGCUCCGCGCCGUGGACGUGUCGGGGAACCAGCUCGGCGGCUCGCUGCGGGUGGAGCCGAACCCGCGGCUGCAGUCCCUCAACGUGUCCGGCAACCGCUUCACCGUCGUCGCGGGGGUGGACGGCCUCCCGGGGCUCGACGCGCUCGACGUGUCGGCGAACAGGAUCCGCGCUGUGCCGCAGGGGCUGAGGCGGCUGACGCGAUUGCGCCGGCUCGACCUCUCCCGGAACGCGAUGCGCGGGAGGUUCCCCGGCGACCUGCCCCCGCUCGAUGGUCUCCUUUUCUUGAACGUCUCGUACAACAACCUGUCCGGCGCGGUGAACGCCAGCGCCGUGAAGAAGUUCGGGCCCUCGGCGUUCAUCCACGCCGGCAAUGCGUCGUUAGUGUUCUCAAAAGACACCCCUGCGCGGCCCAGGCGGCCUCAUCCACCGCCUCCGCCACCACGAGGAACAAGUGCAAAGAAGGCUCAUCCCGCAAGGACGGCAAAGAGCACGGCAACGAAAGCGAAAAGAAAGAAGCAUCUGGGCGUGGUCGCCGUGGCGAUUGUGUGCGGGGUGGCGUCAGUGAUCGUCCUGCUCUGCUUGGUCGGAUCCGUGGCGUGCGGGGUGGUGAGGUGCAGGAAGAGGAAGAACGGAGACAAGGAGGCGGAGGAGAAGAAGGUGCAGUGGGGUGAGAAGGAAGAAGAUGAGGUGGUUGUGGCGGCGGCAGCAUCAAAGGGGGCGGCGGCCGCGCCGGUGGUGCUCUUCGAGCGACCGCUCAUGGAGCUGACGCUCGCCGACCUCGCCGCGGCCACUUCUGGGUUCGGCCGCGAAUCCCAGCUCGCGGAGCGCGGUGGCCGCAGCGGCGCCGCGUACCGCGCCGUUCUGCCCGGCGACCUGCACGUCGUCGUGCGCGUCGUGGAGGGCGCCAUGGCCGUGGUCGGGGAGGACGACAACCCGGCCGCCGCGGCCGCCGCGUUCCGGGAACUCGCGCGGCUCCGGCACCCCAACAUCCUUCCGCUCCUUGGAUACUGCAUUGCAGGGAGGGAGAAGCUGCUGCUAUACGAGUAUAUGGAGAAAGGCGACCUCCACCGGUGGCUGCACGAGCUGCCCGCGGGGCGGCCGGACAUGGACGACGCCGGCGGCGACAUCUGGGAGGCGGCGGAGGACAAGCGGUCGAUAUCCGACUGGCCGACCCGGCACCGCAUCGCGCUGGGCGUCGCCCGGGGCCUGGCGUUCCUGCACCAAGGGUGGGCCGGGUCAGGCCGGGCCGUGGUGCACGGCCACCUCGUCCCCACCAACGUGCUCCUCAGCGACGACCUGGAGCCCCGUAUAUCCGACUUCGGGCACCUCGGCGGCGACGAGGACGACGCGACGCCGGAGGCGGACGUGUAUGGGUUCGGCGCGCUGGUGCUGGAGCUGAUGACGGGGCAGGCGAGGUGGGACGAGGCGUCGGUGAGCUGGGCGCGCGGGCUCAUCCGCGACGGCAAGGGGCUGGACAUCGUGGACCCGCGGGUGCACGGCGGCGAGGCGGCGGAGCGGGAGAUGGUGGAGUGCCUGCGGGUGGGGUACCUGUGCACGGCGCACUCGCCGGACAAGCGGCCGACUAUGCAGCAGGUGGUGGGCGUGCUCAAGGACAUCCGGCCUCGUGCGCUCGACGGCGGUGGCGAUGCGUGA